AUUGAACGCUGGCGGCAGGCCUAAUACAUGCAAGUCGAACGAGUGGAGGACGGGCGAGCAGUGUCUGGGAAACUGCCUGACGGAGGGGGCUAACUACUGGAAACGGUAGCUACAAGUGCUUACCAUCAGUUGGGCUCUCGGGGGUUUAGCUAGUUGGUGGGGUAACGGCUCACCAAGGCGACGAUCCCUAGCAGGUCUGAGAGGGUGACCGGCCACACUGGAACUGAGACACGGUCCAGACUCCUACGGGAGGCAGCAGUGGGGAAUAUUGCACAAUGGGCGCAAGCCUGAUGGAGCAAUGCCGCGUGUAUGAAGAAGGCCUUCGGGUUGUAAAGUACUGUCGGCGGGGAGGCGUUACCCACAGAAGAAGCACCGGCUAACUCCGUGCCAGCCGCCGCGGUAAUAC
Molecule: ribosomal RNA, 406 nt
Filed under: uncultured bacterium
Lineage: Bacteria
Description: partial 16S ribosomal RNA
Rfam family: Bacterial small subunit ribosomal RNA
Source: RNAcentral